UACGGAGGGUGCAAGCGUUGCUCGGAAUCACUGGGCGUAAAAGGCGUGUAGGCGGUCUCGUAUGUCUGACGUGAAAGCCCCGGGCUCAACCCGGGAAGUGCGUUGGAAACUGCGAGACUAGAGUCUCGGAGAGGAAGGUGGAAUUCCAGGUGUAGCGGUGAAAUGCGUAGAUAUCUGGAAGAACACCGGUGGCGAAGGCGGCCUUCUGGACGAUGACUGACGCUGAGACGCGAAAGCGUGGGGAGCAAACAGG
RNAcentral lists this ribosomal RNA (253 nucleotides) under uncultured bacterium. RNAcentral describes it as "partial 16S ribosomal RNA". It matches the Rfam family "Bacterial small subunit ribosomal RNA", at positions 524 to 776 of the family's 1533-position model. The record is from RNAcentral.